RNAcentral lists this ribosomal RNA (702 nucleotides) under uncultured Gammaproteobacteria bacterium. Its description in RNAcentral is "bacterial SSU rRNA". It matches the Rfam family "Bacterial small subunit ribosomal RNA", at positions 56 to 750 of the family's 1533-position model. Lineage: Bacteria; Pseudomonadati; Pseudomonadota; Gammaproteobacteria. The record is from RNAcentral.
UGCAAGUCGAACGGUAACAGGCCCGCAAGGGUGCUGACGAGUGGCGGACGGGUGAGGAAUACAUCGGAAUUUGCCCAGUCGUGGGGGAUAACGUAGGGAGACUUACGCUAAUACCGCAUACGACCUAACGGUGAAAGCGGGGGAUCAGCAAUGACCUCGCGCGGAUGGAUAAGCCGAUGUCGGAUUAGCUAGUUGGCGGGGUAAGAGCCCACCAAGGCGACGAUCCGUAGCUGGUCUGAGAGGAUGAUCAGCCACACUGGGACUGAGACACGGCCCAGACUCCUACGGGAGGCAGCAGUGGGGAAUAUUGGACAAUGGGGGCAACCCUGAUCCAGCAAUGCCGCGUGUGUGAAGAAGGCCUUCGGGUUGUAAAGCACUUUUAUCGGGAACGAAACGUGUCAGGUGAAUACCCUGGCAAACUGACGGUACCCGAGGAAUAAGCACCGGCUAACUUCGUGCCAGCAGCCGCGGUAAUACGAAGGGUGCAAGCGUUACUCGGAAUUACUGGGCGUAAAGGGUGCGUAGGUGGUCUUUUAAGUCUGUUGUGAAAUCCCUGGGCUCAACCUGGGAAUGGCAGUGGAUACUGGAAGGCUAGAGUGCGGUAGAGGGUAGUGGAAUUCCCGGUGUAGCAGUGAAAUGCGUAGAGAUCGGGAGGAACACCAGUGGCGAAGGGCGGCUACCUGGACCAGCACUGACACUGAG